GCUCCUUCCAGGUUUUCUCAGACUUACGCUUCUCUAGCUUCUUCAUUGGUUGCCUCUUUAGCUUCUUCUCUUUAGACUCACGCUUUUCUCAAGUUUACGGUUCCAGGUUGCACGCUCAGUAUCGUCUUCUUCCAGGUUUGCCUAUCUAGAUUCUUCUCUUCCAAUCCAACCACAAGAACACAGCUGCUAAUCAAAACCAUACCCACAAGACAAGAACUAGACAGUGACGCACCCACAGCUUCAAAUCGGCGGCGCUUAUUCUCUUCCAAUCCAACUCGGCGGCACCAUUCUUUAGCUUCUUCUCUUCCAAUCCAACCUCAAAUCGGCGGCGCACCCACAUCCAAUCCAACUCGGCGGCGCCACCCACAAUCUUCAGGUGACUGAAGAUUGGAUGAAUCUUGCCAUGCUCCAAGUUAAAGUAUAUUAAAACAUCGAAGGCGUGUUUUUUUUUUUAAAUAAAAUGUAAAUUAAUCUGAUCUGAUUGGGAUUCUCAGCCUUCUAUUAUAACUCAGAAGCUGGUGUAUUCAUCUUUCCUUGUGACAAUAUAACUACGAAUUUAAAA
Molecule: long non-coding RNA, 562 nt
Organism: Quercus robur (English oak)
Lineage: Eukaryota; Viridiplantae; Streptophyta; Magnoliopsida; Fagales; Fagaceae
Exons: 2
Source: RefSeq, a predicted model, not a curated record